UCAAACUUGGUCAUUUAGAGGAAGUAAAAGUCGUAACAAGGUUUCCGUAGGUGAACCUGCGGAAGGAUCAUUAUUGAACAAAAUUAAACAGACUGUUGCUGGUUUCUUGAAGCAAGUGCACGUCUGUUUUAUUUCAAAUUUUUCCGCCUGUGCACUAGUGGUUGAGAUCAGUCUAAAUAAAAUAAGAGCUUUCGAAGGAUAACCUUCGGUGGAGAGAAAUAAGCUUACAUUUUGCUGUUUCUUGAAAACUUGCUUUUAGAUUGGCUCGGCUGUUUUCAUUCAUUGCACCAUAUGAAUGCAUCAGAGUAUUGACAGAAUCAGACUUGUUUUGUGUUUUAAAUUAUAUAACUUUCAACAACGGAUCUCUUGGCUCUCGCAUCGAUGAAGAACGCAGC
Molecule: unclassified non-coding RNA, 395 nt
Filed under: uncultured fungus
Lineage: Eukaryota; Fungi
Description: partial contains small subunit ribosomal RNA, internal transcribed spacer 1, and 5.8S ribosomal RNA
Rfam family: Eukaryotic small subunit ribosomal RNA (bases 1-73)
Source: RNAcentral